AGAUUGAACGCUGGCGGCAUGCCUUACACAUGCAAGUCGAACGGCAGCACGGGAGCAAUCCUGGUGGCGAGUGGCGAACGGGUGAGUAAUACAUCGGAACGUGCCCAAUCGUGGGGGAUAACGCAGCGAAAGCUGUGCUAAUACCGCAUAAGAUCUACGGAUGAAAGCAGGGGAUCGCAAGACCUUGCGCGAAUGGAGCGGCCGAUGGCAGAUUAGGUAGUUGGUGAGGUAAAGGCUCACCAAGCCUUCGAUCUGUAGCUGGUCUGAGAGGACGACCAGCCACACUGGGACUGAGACACGGCCCAGACUCCUACGGGAGGCAGCAGUGGGGAAUUUGGACAAUGGGCGAAAGCCUGAUCCAGCCAUGCCGCGUGCAGGAUGAAGGCCUUCGGGUUGUAAACGU
This 403-nucleotide ribosomal RNA is filed under the name uncultured soil bacterium. RNAcentral's name for it is "bacterial SSU rRNA". It matches the Rfam family "Bacterial small subunit ribosomal RNA", at positions 26 to 432 of the family's 1533-position model. The record is from RNAcentral.